GAACGGCGUCGUCUGGUUUUCCCUGAUUCGCGAAACAUGUACAAAUUCAAUCGCCAUUCUUCUUCUUUUCUUAUGCUACUAUCUGGAAGAUUCAAGUCUCAACAAAUCUGCCGCAUUCAUCGAUCUUGGGAGUGAAAAAUGUCAGGUAAAGCCAUCUUCUCUGCUUUUGUGGGAUCACUUGGCAUUGCAUAUGUGUGUGACUAUUUAAUUUCCGACAGGAAGAUUUUUGGAGGUAGCACUCCUUCUACUGUUUCGAACAAAGAAUGGGAGCUGGCUACCGACAAAAAGAUGCAAGCAUGGCCGCGAACCGCCGGUCCACCAGUGGUGAUGAACCCCAUCAGCCUCCAGAACUUCAUCGUCAAAGCCAACCUCGAUGAGUGAAUGCAGUCCUUUCACUUAGACCUCUUAUGCUUAAACAUGGCAUACAAUUUGUAGAGUGAACCUUUUGUGUUGAAAUUCUGCUGGUUGGUAUCUGAGUGUAGAUCUCCACUUUAUAUUGCUGAGUUUUUUCAAAUAAGUUUUCUAUGCUCUGACAUAUUUCUUGGAAUUUAUCUCAUCGUUGAAAGAAAUGAUUAUCUUUAUUUGGUCA
Salvia splendens (bonfire salvia) is the source of this 589-nucleotide long non-coding RNA. RefSeq lists it as uncharacterized. Lineage: Eukaryota; Viridiplantae; Streptophyta; Magnoliopsida; Lamiales; Lamiaceae. The transcript has 3 exons. The record is from RefSeq and is a predicted model, not a curated record.